AUUGAACGCUGGCGGCAGGCCUAACACAUGCAAGUCGAGCGAGCGGCGGACGGGUGAGUAAUGUAUGGGGACUUCCCGAUAGAGGGGGAUAACUACUGGAAACGGUAGCUAAUACCGCAUACUAUCGGAUAACCCAUAUGGGAUUAGCUAGUUGGUUAGGUAAUGGCUCACCUAGGCGACGAUCCCUAGCUGGUCUGAGAGGAUGAUCGGCCACACUGGGACGGAGAAACGGCCCAGACUCCGACGGAGGCAGCAGUGGGGAAUAUUGCACAAUGGGCGCAAGCCGGAUGCAGCCAUGCCGGGUGUAGGAAGAAGGCCCUAGGGUUGUAAAGUACUUUCAGUCGGGAGGCGUUACCGACAGAAGAAGCACCGGCUAACUCCGUGCCAGCAGCCGCGGUAAUUC
RNAcentral lists this ribosomal RNA (403 nucleotides) under uncultured bacterium. RNAcentral describes it as "partial 16S ribosomal RNA". It matches the Rfam family "Bacterial small subunit ribosomal RNA", at positions 30 to 526 of the family's 1533-position model. The record is from RNAcentral.